RNAcentral lists this ribosomal RNA (442 nucleotides) under uncultured bacterium. RNAcentral describes it as "partial 16S ribosomal RNA". It matches the Rfam family "Bacterial small subunit ribosomal RNA", at positions 338 to 795 of the family's 1533-position model. The record is from RNAcentral.
CCUACGGGAGGCAGCAGUGGGGAAUAUUGGGCAAUGGGCGCAAGCCUGACCCAGCAACGCCGCGUGAAGGAAGAAGGCUUUCGGGUUGUAAACUUCUUUUGUCAGGGAAGAGUAGAAGACGGUACCUGACGAAUAAGCCACGGCUAACUACGUGCCAGCAGCGGCGGUAAUACGUAGGUGGCAAGCGUGGUCCGGAUUUACUGGGUGUAAAGGGCGUGUAGCCGGGUUGACAAGUCAGAUGUGAAAUCCUGCGGCUUAACCGCAGAACUGCAUUUGAAACUGUUGAUCUUGAGUACUGGAGAGGCAGACGGAAUUCCUAGUGUAGCGGUGAAAUGCGUAGAUAUUAGGAGGAACACCAGUGGCGAAGGCGGUCUGCUGGACAGCAACUGACGGUGAGGCACGAAAGCGUGGGGAGCAAACAGGAUUAGAUACCCUUGUAGUC